UCCUACGGGAGGCAGCAGUGGGGAAUAUUGCACAAUGGGGGGAACCCUGAUGCAGCAAUGCCGCGUGAAGGAUGAAGGUUUUCGGAUUGUACCCUUCUUUUGUACGGGACGAAGAACGUGACGGUACCGUACGACUACGCCACGGCUAACUACGUUCCCUCAGCCGCGGUCCUCCGUAGGUGGCCAGCGUUCUCCGGCUUUACUGGUUGUACAGGGCGCGUAUGCGGGAUUGCAAGUCCUCUGUUACACCUAUGUGCUCACCCGCU
Molecule: ribosomal RNA, 266 nt
Filed under: uncultured bacterium
Lineage: Bacteria
Description: partial 16S ribosomal RNA
Rfam family: Bacterial small subunit ribosomal RNA
Source: RNAcentral